CUCGCUGCUGUUCUAUUUUUUUUGAAAAAUAAAUUUCAUUUUUUAAAAUAUAUUAUGGCUUUUAAUUAUAUGAUGUUUUGUAUGCUUUUUAUAUGCAUGAUCUCCAAACUGUUAAUAUGUCUUGUCCCAUCCUUUUCGAUUAUGACAAAGGGGGAGAAGAGAUUCUGUAGCAUAUAUUGUAUGUAUCUAACCAACUUGCAGGAACUCAAAAU
Molecule: long non-coding RNA, 212 nt
Filed under: Lathyrus oleraceus (garden pea)
Lineage: Eukaryota; Viridiplantae; Streptophyta; Magnoliopsida; Fabales; Fabaceae
Description: Pisum sativum (pea) long non-coding RNA (PSAT_LNC001084)
Source: RNAcentral